This is an RNA transcript of Dermacentor andersoni, 3730 nucleotides long. It is a transcript of the gene named lon protease homolog 2, peroxisomal-like, with no coding region annotated. The record is from RefSeq and is a predicted model, not a curated record. NCBI's taxonomy places the organism in Eukaryota, Metazoa, Arthropoda, Arachnida, Ixodida, Ixodidae.
CUAAGUCACUUCUGACGUAACCCGUAACAACGGCGUGAGGUGUAGAACACAGCUCACCCUCCUUCUUAAACCUAUCGCAGGGAACAUCGUUUGAAGAAAAACAAGCGCUUUUCGGCUUUCCAGUCCCGCUGUUCAGUGUUUUCAUCCACCUAUCGCAGGACCGGUUUCGUCAGGGUGCACUGGCCUGAUCUUUUCUCAUUGCCUCUAUUUCGGCGGACAGGAGCUUCGCUUGGUCCGCAAACAAGUUCCACCUUCCUUCCGCAAAGCUAAGUCUAGGCCGCUCGGGCGGGGUCAGCCGCUUCGCUCUUAGCGGUCAGGCCAUGCGGGUUAGCAUCAACGACCCCUGCGGCACUCCUGAAAACGACGCACACCAAAACGCCGAAGCCAACUGUUUCACCCGUUCUACCUAUUUUAAGCGACGCGUAAUGACAAAACCGGAUAUACUACUGGGAAGGUUUUGUGCAAACGUUGAGUGGCAGUUCUGUGGGGUCACGGUGCGUACAGAACAUGUUUAAGUGCGGCUGGUCGUUUCUAACCACCGUUAGUUGAGUAAAAACGGAAACCUAUGUUUAAAGUUCCCGCAAUUAGUGGCGGUGGCGCCACUAGUGCCACUGGAGUUGGUUCUUUAUUCUAUGGAGCCACCGUGAAAAUGGCGACGCCAACAGCGAAACUUCCCCGAAGGCUGCCUUUGCUUUUGAUCGAUGGAGUUCUUUUUCCAGGAGCUUCGAUACGAAUACCAGUGUCAUCGCACAAGAACAUGAACAUGGUGAAGCAUCAUCUUCUGGGACACAGCACUUUCAGCAGUGCCAUCAUAGGAGUUGUUCCACGAGAAGAGAAUGAUUCGCAUGAGGAAGAGACAUGGUCUAUGCACAACUUGGGGACAGCGGGUAUCGUGGUCCAGGUGACGGGCACUAACUGGCCAAGGCCUUCAUACACUCUUCUAGUGACGGGCCUAUGCCGCUUUCGUAUUGAUGGCCUUGUCCAGGAGUCGCCAUACCUUGUGGGAAAUGUUUCUCAACUUGACAAGUUGCCUGGGGAGACUGGCUCAGUGGACAUGGAUGAUUAUGACACGGAGUUAACUGAGCUGAUGAACCAAUUUCGGGAACAGGCCACAAAAUUGAUAGACAUGCUUGACCUGUCUAUUCCCUCCAUCAUUAGACUAAAGCGUCUGCUAGCCUCUGUUCCUAUUCAGAGCUUGCCAGACAUAUGUGCUGCGAUUGUGAGAGCCACUCAUGCAGAGAGACUUCAAGUGCUGGAUGCAGUUGAUUUGGGCGAGCGCUUCAAGAAAACACUUCCCCUGCUGAUUCGGCAAAUUGAAAGCCUUCAAUUCUUGCAUCAAGCGAAGAAAGAUGGCAGCACAUCACGCUCGUUUCACAUUGAAAAGGUCGGAUCACCACAUCGGCCAAGACAACAGCUGGAUAUUGAUGAUGAUGAUUUUGAGGAAGGAGAUGAGGUUGGUUUGUUGGAGAAAAAAAUAAAGGCAGCUGAAAUGCCUGAUCAUGCUAGAAAGGUAGCUACAAAAGAAUUACAGAGGUUGAAGAAGAUGCCACCACAUAUGCCUGAGCAUGCCAUGACAAGAAAUUAUUUGGAGCUGCUCAUUGACUUGCCUUGGUCGCACAGUUCUCCAGAAGUUGUGGACCUUGCGAAAUCCAGGUCUGACUUGGAUGCUGAUCACUAUGGAAUGGAAAAGCUGAAGAAACGUGUUCUCGAAUACCUGGCUGUGAGGAAAUUGAAGAGCUCUCUCAAAGGCCCCAUCUUAUGCUUUGUGGGUCCUCCUGGUGUUGGAAAGACCAGUGUGGGACGUUCUAUAGCUUGCUCCUUGGGUCGCGAGUUCUACAGGAUAUCAUUGGGUGGAGUGAGUGACCAAGCGGACAUUAGAGGUCACCGCAGGACGUACAUUGGUUCAAUGCCAGGCAGAAUCAUUCAAGGAUUGCGAACUGUUGGUGUCAAAAACCCGGUGUUUCUGCUGGAUGAAAUUGACAAAAUGACCCCAGGCAUCCAUGGCGACCCUGCUGCGGCUUUACUUGAAGUCCUGGAUCCUGAGCAGAACUGUGCCUUCAUUGAUCACUACUUGAACAUCCCUUAUGAUCUUUCAAAUGUUCUAUUUAUUGCCACAGCCAAUACAGUUUCCACAAUUCCAGCAGCUUUGCUGGACAGGAUGGAGGUCAUUCCUGUGCCUGGUUAUACUCAUGAAGAGAAAGAACACAUAGCUCAAAACCAUCUCCUUCCUAAGCAACUGAAAGAGCAUGGUAUCACAACUGAUAUGAUGCAAGUGACGAAUGAAGCACUGAGAAAACUUGUGGUCAAGUACACAAGAGAGGCUGGAGUGCGGACAUUGGAGCGCAAGAUUGGUGCUCUCUGCCGGGCUGUUGCUGUGAAGGUUGUUGAAAAUGAGACCAUCUGUCCUGUGGCUGUCGAGCAGGAUCAGCUGUCCAACCAGAGUGCAGUCACCGUGGCUGUGGCGCACCCUCCCUCUCUCCCCAUCGUCAUUGAUGAAAUGGCCAUUGAAGGCAUUCUUGGACCACCACAGUAUGACCAAGAAAUGGACUCACGGCUUCUGCAGCCAGGUGUGGCAGUGGGCCUGGCCUGGACUGCAGCUGGGGGUGAGAUUAUGUUUGUGGAGGCAUCGCGCAUGGAAGGCGACGGGCAGCUGGUCCUCACGGGCCAGCUUGGAGAUGUCAUGAAGGAAUCAGCAAAGCUAGCCCUUAACUGGCUACGUAUUCAUGCCGACAAGUUCCACCUGCCUGUGCAAAAGGGCACUGACCUGAUGGAGGGCACAGAUGUACACAUACAUUUUCCAGCUGGUGCUGUUGGCAAAGAUGGACCUUCAGCUGGCGUCACCAUUGUUACUGUGCUGGUGUCGCUCUUCACUGGCCGCACAGUCCUUCCUGAUGUGGCCAUGACAGGCGAAAUUACUCUGCAAGGCUUGGUGCUCCCGGUUGGGGGCAUUAAAGACAAGGUGCUGGCAGCCCAUCGUGCUGGUAUGUGCAAAGUUAUAAUGCCUAAGAGAAACAAGAAGGACUUGCAGGAAAUUCCGGCAUCUAUCAAAGAGGACCUGUCUUUCAGUUUUGUGACUCACAUUGAAGAAGUUCUCCAGGAGGCUUUUGAAGGUGGCUUUCCUGACCUACCUAGCUCUGUUGAACACGUGUUGAGCAAGCUGUAGCACUCUGUGUGGGACAGUUGGGAGCGCAUUCAGUGCUCUUUGCCUCGUCCUCAAUUUAUGUAGAACCCUUUUCGUAAGCCUCCAGGUUCCUGCCCCGUACUUGGUCGUCGAGGCAUUGUGCUCUGAUCGCAGGUGGCAGUAUUCAUCCCACGGGCUUGUCUUCCACCUCUCGUGGAUGGACCAUUGCAAGUACUGAGCUACACAGGUGUUAACUUAUUCAGGGCUUUAUUCAAGUUCAGGCCACACUUACAUAUGUAAGGUUACAUACAUAUAUUCAUAGAAAAGUACAUAAGAGAGUUAGCAUGCGCAACUGGGCCAAUAUGUAUACCCAAUGCCCCAACUGAAGCGCACAGUAUAACUAGUAGCAUGGAAAAACUCUAUUGCUUUUUGCAAGCUCGGCCGCGUCCUGUGCUUUUGAACUGAACUGUGAAAUAAUUCUAGUGAUAAUGUGUCAUUGUCUGGCGUACAUCUGUCAUUCUCAGGCAAGUAAUUGUAUAUUUACACAUAAAUAAGCCUUAAAUUAUGAUGGGCUGAAACGAUGUGCAAUAAAUUAAGUAUGAAACAUGA